GGCCAUACAUAUCUCAGAGGUAGAGCAUCUGCCUUGCAUGCAGAAUGUCCCAGGUUCAAUUCCCAACAGCAUCU
Podarcis lilfordi (Lilford's wall lizard) is the source of this 74-nucleotide non-coding RNA. The record is from the annotation of a GenBank genome assembly. NCBI's taxonomy places the organism in Eukaryota, Metazoa, Chordata, Lepidosauria, Squamata, Lacertidae.